This 521-nucleotide ribosomal RNA is filed under the name uncultured bacterium. Its description in RNAcentral is "bacterial SSU rRNA". It matches the Rfam family "Bacterial small subunit ribosomal RNA", at positions 26 to 518 of the family's 1533-position model. The record is from RNAcentral.
AGGACGAACGCUGGCGGCGUGCCUAAUACAUGCAAGUCGAACGGUCUUUUCUAUGGAAGCUUGCUUCCACUGAGAAGAUAGUGGCGAACGGGUGAGUAACACGUGGGUAACCUGCCCAUAAGAGGGGGAUAACAUCCGGAAACGGGUGCUAAUACCGCAUAGUUUUCUUGAUCGCAUGAUUGAGAAAGGAAAGACGGCCUUUGUGCUGUCGCUUAUGGAUGGACCCGCGGCGUAUUAGUUAGUUGGUGAGGUAACGGCUCACCAAGACGAUGAUACGUAGCCGACCUGAGAGGGUGAUCGGCCACAUUGGGACUGAGACACGGCCCAAACUCCUACGGGAGGCAGCAGUAGGGAAUCUUCCGCAAUGGACGAAAGUCUGACGGAGCAACGCCGCGUGAGUGAAGAAAAGGUUUUCGGAUCGUAAAACUCUGUUGUCAGAGAAGAACAAGUUGGAGAGUAACUGCUCCAGCCUUGACGGUAUCUGACCAGAAAGCCACGGCUAACUACGUGCCAGCCGCAGC